RNAcentral lists this ribosomal RNA (497 nucleotides) under uncultured bacterium. Its description in RNAcentral is "partial 16S ribosomal RNA". It matches the Rfam family "Bacterial small subunit ribosomal RNA", at positions 28 to 507 of the family's 1533-position model. The record is from RNAcentral.
GAUGAACGCUGGCGGCGUGCCUAAUACAUGCAAGUCGAGCGAACAGACGAGGAGCUUGCUCCUCUGACGUUAGCGGCGGACGGGUGAGUAACACGUGGAUAACCUACCUAUAAGACUGGGAUAACUUCGGGAAACCGGAGAUAAUACCGGAUAAUAUAUUGAACCGCAUGGUUCAAUAGUGAAAGACGGUUUUGCUGUCACUUAUAGAUGGAUCCGAGCCGCAUUAGCUAGUUGGUAAGGUAACGGCUUACCAAGGCAACGAUGCGUAGCCGACCUGAGAGGGUGAUCGGCCACACUGGAACUGAGACACGGUCCAGACUCCUACGGGAGGCAGCAGUAGGGAAUCUUCCGCAAUGGGCGAAAGCCUGACGGAGCAACGCCGCGUGAGUGAUGAAGGUCUUCGGAUCGUAAAACUCUGUUAUUAGAGAAGAACAAAUGUGUAAGUAACUAUGCACGUCUUGACGGUACCUAAUCAGAAAGCCACGGCUAACUACGUG